GCCACUGCGGGGCUACAUAGACGGGCUAAUCUAGCCUAUUAAUUGACACGCUUGCCGGCUUCGCUCCUGAGCGUAAGAAUUCAAAAUAAGACAGCCCAAUAUCUUCUUCGUUUAGGAAUAUUUAUUUGUCAUUCCAUCGUUGUCUUGAUCACUGUCACAUGUGAGCUGUUCCAGACAUUUACAUUCACUCCUGUUACCUCAUAGCGUGACGUACAGCGGUCAAAAAAGUGUAAUUGCUCCCCGUCUAGCAACACCUGACACCCCAGUGAUAGUUCCUACCUAUAUAGAGUUUCACCUUAACCUAAAGGCGACACCUGCUGGAACAAUUUGUGUUUGCACUUCAUAAACAUGGCUCCUACAGUGGUGUUGUUUGUCAUUCCCUGUCUGUUUAAUCCUCGUGUCUCUCCCCUGUCUGUGUGAGUGUGGUGGGUUCAUGUUCCCAGGCGGCGCCAGGUGCAGCUCGUUGGUCAUCAGGAUCUCUACUACAAAGACUUCCCUCUGCUUCACCUCGCCGCCAGAUUGUUUCACCAGCUCGCGUGAUCGCUGUUCGUGUUUUUUGCUUCACCUCACCUGUGCUUUUGGGACACCACACUGGGAUCACGGACACUGCCACUUGGAACCUCGCACUACCCCUCCCUUUGCACUUUUUGAGUCACAUUUGGAAUAAACUUUUUGUAACUUUA
Molecule: long non-coding RNA, 683 nt
Organism: Labrus mixtus (cuckoo wrasse)
Lineage: Eukaryota; Metazoa; Chordata; Actinopteri; Labriformes; Labridae
Exons: 2
Source: RefSeq, a predicted model, not a curated record